This 460-nucleotide ribosomal RNA is filed under the name uncultured bacterium. RNAcentral describes it as "partial 16S ribosomal RNA". It matches the Rfam family "Bacterial small subunit ribosomal RNA", at positions 338 to 795 of the family's 1533-position model. The record is from RNAcentral.
CCUACGGGUGGCUGCAGUGAGGAAUAUUGGUCAAUGGACGAGAGUCUGAACCAGCCAAGUAGCGUGAAGGAUGACUGCCCUAUGGGUUGUAAACUUCUUUUAUAUGGGAAUAAAAUGUUCCACGUGUGGGAUUUUGUCUGUACCAUAUGAAUAAGGAUCGGCUAACUCCGUGCCAGCAGCCGCGGUAAUACGGAGGAUCCGAGCGUUAUCCGGAUUUAUUGGGUUUAAAGGGAGCGUAGGUGGAUUGUUAAGUCAGUUGUGAAAGUUUGCGGCUCAACCGUAAAAUUGCAGUUGAAACUGGCAGUCUUGAGUACAGGAGAGGUGGGCGGAAUUCGUGGUGUAGCGGUGAAAUGCGUAGAUAUCACGAAGAACUCCGAUUGCGAAGGCAGUUCACUGGACUGCAACUGACACUGAGGCUCGAAAGUGUGGGUAUCAAACAGGAUUAGAUACCCUUGUAGUC